AAUGCUUGACUCUGUAGCGGGAAAGCGUAUUAUGCACACCCCGCGCCGCUGAGAAAAAGCGAAGCGGCACUGCUCUUUAACAAUUUA
This 87-nucleotide ribosomal RNA is filed under the name Escherichia coli 2-011-08_S3_C3. Its description in RNAcentral is "partial 16S ribosomal RNA". The record is from RNAcentral. Lineage: Bacteria; Pseudomonadati; Pseudomonadota; Gammaproteobacteria; Enterobacterales; Enterobacteriaceae.